This 457-nucleotide ribosomal RNA is filed under the name uncultured bacterium. RNAcentral describes it as "partial 16S ribosomal RNA". It matches the Rfam family "Bacterial small subunit ribosomal RNA", at positions 338 to 795 of the family's 1533-position model. The record is from RNAcentral.
CCUACGGGAGGCAGCAGUGGGGAAUAUUGCACAAUGGGGGAAACCCUGAUGCAGCGACGCCGCGUGAGUGAAGAAGUAUUUCGGUAUGUAAAGCUCUAUCAGCAGGGAAGAAACCCACCCUCCGGGGUGGCUGACGGUACUUGACUAAGAAGCCCCGGCUAACUACGGGCUAGCAGCCGCGGUAAUACGUAGGGGGCAAGCGUUAUCCGGAUUUACUGGGUGUAAAGGGAGCGUAGGUGGCAUGGCAAGUCAGAUGUGAAAACCCGGGGCCCAACCCCGGGAGUGCAUUUGAAACUGUUUGGCUAGAGUGCAGGAGAGGUAAGUGGAAUUCGUGGUGUAGCGGUGAAAUGCAUAGAUAUUAGGAGGAACACCAGUGGCGAAGGCGGCUUACUGGACUGUAACUGACACUGAGGCUCGAAAGCGUGGGGAGCAAACAGGAUUAGAUACCCUGGUAGUC